RNAcentral lists this long non-coding RNA (281 nucleotides) under Lathyrus oleraceus (garden pea). Its description in RNAcentral is "Pisum sativum (pea) long non-coding RNA (PSAT_LNC036477)". The record is from RNAcentral. Lineage: Eukaryota; Viridiplantae; Streptophyta; Magnoliopsida; Fabales; Fabaceae.
AAAACAUCCUUGAACCCACAAAAAGCUCAUACUUUUCUAACCACCACACCACACAAAUCAUUAUUCCACUUUCCAUUUUCGAUUUCAUCCGUCGGAUUUUGUAAAAAUCCAACCUUUUCAUCAACCACUUCAUCUUCUUCAUCCACUUUUCAAGAGCAUUUAAAUGGAGUUCAACGGAUUCAUUCUUCGAGGAGGGAAACCGGGGGAGAGACAAAGAAAAAUUAUUGAAUGGUUGCAAAAUCGGGAAAUCCUCCCGACAAGGUAUGUUGACGAAAACUGUC